AGCAGCCGCGGUAAUUCCAGCUCCAAUAGCGUAUAUUAAAGUUGUUGCAGUUAAAAAGCUCGUAGUUGAAUUUCGGGAUCAAUUUAUUGGUCGUGCUAUUGUACGUACUGGUAUUAUUGAUUCCUACCUUCUGACGAACCAUGAUGUCAUUAAUUUGGUGUCAUGGGGAAUCAGGACUGUUACUUUGAAAAAAUUAGAGUGUUUAAAGCAGGCUCACGCUUGAAUACAUUAGCAUGGAAUAACGAAAUAGGACGUUUGAUUCUAUUUUGUUGGUUUCUAGGAUCGACGUAAUGAUUAAUAGGGAUAGUUGGGGGCAUUAGUAUUCAAUUGUCAGAGGUGAAAUUCUUGGAUUUAUUGAAGACUAACUACUGCGAAAGCAUUUGCCAAGGAUGUUUUCAUUAAUCAAGAACGAAAGUUAGGGGAUCGAAGACGAUCAGAUACCGUCGUAGUCUUAACCAUAAACUAUGCCGACUAGGGAUCGGAUGAUGUUAAUUUUUAAUGACUCAUUCGGCGUCCG
Molecule: ribosomal RNA, 517 nt
Filed under: uncultured Glomus
Lineage: Eukaryota; Fungi; Glomeromycota; Glomeromycetes; Glomerales; Glomeraceae
Description: SSU rRNA
Rfam family: Eukaryotic small subunit ribosomal RNA
Source: RNAcentral